CAGAGGGUGCAAGCGUUGUUCGGAAUUAUUGGGCGUAAAGCGCGUGUAGGCGGCCUAGCAAGUCGGGCGUGAAAGCCCUCGGCUCAACCGAGGAAGUGCACCCGAAACUGCUGAGCUUGAGUGCCGGAGAGGAUGGCGGAAUUCCCCAAGUAGAGGUGAAAUUCGUAGAUAUGGGGAGGAACACCGGUGGCGAAGGCGGCCAUCUGGACGGUAACUGACGCUGAGACGCGAAAGCGUGGGGAGCAAACAGGAUUAGAUACCCUGGUAGUCCACGCCGUAAACGAUGAGAACUAGAUGUCGCGGGUGUUGACCCCUGCGGUGUCGCAGCUAACGCAUUAAGUUCUCCGCCUGGGAAGUACGGUCGCAAGAUUA
RNAcentral lists this ribosomal RNA (372 nucleotides) under uncultured organism. RNAcentral's name for it is "bacterial SSU rRNA". It matches the Rfam family "Bacterial small subunit ribosomal RNA", at positions 526 to 896 of the family's 1533-position model. The record is from RNAcentral.